CAGGAAGCGCUGGAACUGGCUCUUUGUACAGUUAUAAUAUCAUCCUCCAUAAACCUUCGGCCCCGCAGUGCAUCCGCUUGUGGGAGCUGUGAGCACGUGAGGACAUCAUCAGGCCUCCAGUUCAUCUCUGGGUCCACAUCACACCUCCACCAGACCUCCUCCCUAGGUCUGCUACAACUUGUAUCAGAGCACGGCAUCUCGGCUGCAAUUCAUCCCAACUCCCCUCUCAUUCACAGAGCCACCGCAUAUUCUGAGGAAACACAGCGGGGUUCUGAUGGAAGUGAACAAGAAAAAAGAGAAAAAGCAUGGCAGGGAAACAUUUUCAGCGUCAAUCUUGUGGAAAAACUCAGAAGCCUGGGCCUGUACAAAGUGGUUGCCAGAGGCUUUGUGGAUUUUGGUCGAAAAGAAAAACCAGCCCCCCAUGAAACACAAAAAGACGUUCACCAUUAAAGGUGCCAUUUUGUGCAUCACCCUCAUUGUAGCAUGCAGCUAAACUUUUCCAAUUUGUAAUGGGCCAUUCCGAAAGCCAUAUCAAGUUUUUAUUUCUGUAGUGACUUCUUAUUGGCUUUGGGAAUUUUAAGUAUGGACUGCACCUCAAAAAAUUCUGAAGUCAAACACACCUGUGUUUAUAUCAUUGUUAUUGCAGGGUGUUUUAAACUCUUCAGAAGGGAAUAGCUGUACAUAUGUUGACUUUUUAACAUGUCCUCUUUUGUUGAGACUUUGUCUGUCACUAUCAGUCUUGAAAUCACAGUUUUAUUGUUAUGAAAUUGUAGCAGCACUACAGAAAAAUGCACUACGUGGCCUCAAUUUUUGCUUGCUGCCAACCAAGCAUCGGUGUCAGUAGUGCGUUUUGCUUCAUAAUAGCACUUUUCAGGGCAUUCAAAUCCCUUUUCUUGAGGAAUGCAGGGUACAUUAUGUGAGGUUACGUACUGUACCUGCAGUCUAAACGCUGUAAAAAUGAGAAGCUGUAUUCAUGAUGACUGUUGGUGGUCGAUUUAGGGAACAUUAUAGUCUUGUUGAGUGAAUAGAAGUGAUCUUGUGCUUUAUUUUCACUGUGCUUUAAUGCAAGAACACCUCAUGUGAUGGUACACCAUGCACACACGUAUGUCAUGCAACUUUAACACGUUUUCACCUUAAUGUUUGUAAUGCAUAUGAUUGUGUUUUGCAAGAAUCAGGGAUGCAGUAAUAAAGUUAAGUGCUCUAGAGCCGUAAAUUGUGAAUACACAAUCGGGUAAUUCUAACACAGAGUCGUCUAGGGGUGAAUUUGUAUCACAGGAUUAUUCAUUGAACACAGCUUUGUUUUCUUCUCCAUCAACAUCUUCCAUUGUGUCCACUUGUGUUUGUCAACCAAGUGAACAGAAAUAUGGUAAUCUGUAUAUGGAGAAAGCCUUGUAUGCAUUUGAGAUUUUCAAAGGGGCAUGAUAAGGUGUAGUAUUUACUGAUCUAAAGUCUCAGACAAAAUGGUUAUUUAAAAAGUAAUAUAUUUAAAUAAAAAUGUCUACCUGAAAUGCCACUCUGUGUAAAACACAAUGCAUGGUCGCCAUUUUUGUAGAAUAUGUAAAGUGUUGUUUUAAAACAGAUUUAAGUCAGUAAAAGUAAACAUUUAUGUAAAGUAUUGUUAAUUUACACAAAUAUGAGAGGCUAAUAGCGGAGUAAUCAUUGUAUUUUUACAUUAGAACAAUGUUUAGACACUUAGCCUCACAUAAAAGCCCAUGAGUUCACAAGUAACUGUUUCAGGCACUGAUAUUGUGUAUAGCAAUAAAGAUUUCAGUGUAUUUUUGACCUAUAUGUUUUUAUUUGUUUAUGUGUGAACUGUUU
Molecule: long non-coding RNA, 1818 nt
Filed under: Sinocyclocheilus grahami
Lineage: Eukaryota; Metazoa; Chordata; Actinopteri; Cypriniformes; Cyprinidae
Description: lncRNA (ENSSGRG00000030197.1)
Source: RNAcentral